UGAGGACAGAAGCAACCAGCAGACGUUGAGAAAUAUAAACUCAUAAAACAGUAUUAAACAGUAUUAAACUAACAAAACGUUACACCAGCUGUUGUUAGCUGUGUGUUAGUUGAGUUAGGGGGUGAACCCAGCAGCAGUUGGUGAAUGAAAACCAAGUUAUCCCACUCGGCAGGCCAAACCCCCUUGUGAGUGUGUCCAGACGUCGUCGUUGCUAGAGCAUUGGAUGUGAUUCGGUCAGGUUUUUGGAUAAGGUUGAAGAUCCGGACAAGAUGGCGAGCCACCACCCAGGACCAAGACCUGCUUGAGAGCUACAGACGGACUGUCUGUGUAUGGUAUGAAUGUCAGUCACCCGACUGGUGCUGACUAGAACGAGUGAUUACGAGUGCACUC
Long non-coding RNA from Cololabis saira (Pacific saury), 390 nucleotides. RefSeq lists it as uncharacterized. The record is from RefSeq and is a predicted model, not a curated record. NCBI's taxonomy places the organism in Eukaryota, Metazoa, Chordata, Actinopteri, Beloniformes, Belonidae. The transcript is spliced from 3 exons.